RNAcentral lists this ribosomal RNA (163 nucleotides) under Uncaria tomentosa. Its description in RNAcentral is "5.8S ribosomal RNA". It matches the Rfam family "5.8S ribosomal RNA". Rfam says of the family: 5.8S ribosomal RNA (5.8S rRNA) is a component of the large subunit of the eukaryotic ribosome. It is transcribed by RNA polymerase I as part of the 45S precursor that also contains 18S and 28S rRNA. RNAcentral also lists the same sequence under 4 other names. The record is from RNAcentral. Lineage: Eukaryota; Viridiplantae; Streptophyta; Magnoliopsida; Gentianales; Rubiaceae.
CAAACGACUCUCGGCAACGGAUAUCUCGGCUCUCGCAUCGAUGAAGAACGUAGCGAAAUGCGAUACUUGGUGUGAAUUGCAGAAUCCCGUGAACCAUCGAGUCUUUGAACGCAAGUUGCGCCCGAAGCCAUCAGGCCUAGGGCACGUCUGCCUGGGCGUCACG